Molecule: transfer RNA, 167 nt
Filed under: Blumeria hordei DH14
Lineage: Eukaryota; Fungi; Ascomycota; Leotiomycetes; Helotiales; Erysiphaceae
Description: tRNA-Val for anticodon UAC
Rfam family: tRNA
About the family: Transfer RNA (tRNA) molecules are approximately 80 nucleotides in length. Their secondary structure includes four short double-helical elements and three loops (D, anti-codon, and T loops).
Source: Rfam by way of RNAcentral
GGCCGGGUGGUGUAGCGGUUAUCACAACAGCUUUACAGGUUGGUUUUCCUUCAAUGUCUGGUUCAUGUGUCAUAACCGAAUGGUUGCAUACACUGUCAAAGAUCCUGAAGGAGAGGGUUGCCACCUCCUAUCGCUGUUGGUCGCGAGUUCGAUCCUCGCCCUGGUCA